UGGCGCUUGAAGAGGGCCCGCGCCUGAUUAGCUAGUUGGUGGGGUAAUGGCUCACCAAGGCAACGAUCAGUAUCCGGCCUGAGAGGGCGGACGGACACACUGGGACUGAGACACGGCCCAGACUCCUACGGGAGGCAGCAUGGGGAAUGUUCGCAAUGGGCGCAAGCCUGACGACGCAACGCCGCGUGGAGGAUGAAGAUCUUCGGGUCGUAAACUCCUUUCGAUCGAGACGAAUGGCCCUUGGGAUAAUACCCUGAGGGAGUGACGGUACCGAGAGAAGAAGCCCCGGCUAACUCCGUGCCAGCAGCCGCGGUAAUACGGGGGGGGCAAGCGUUGUUCGGAAUUACUGGGGCGUAAAAGGGCUCGUAGGCGGCCAACUAAGUCAUACGUGAAAUCCCUCGGCUUAACCGGGGAACUGCGUCUGAUACUGGAUGGCUUGAGUUCGGGAGAGGGAUGCGGAAUUCCAGGUGUAGCGGUGAAAUGCGUAGAUAUCUGGAGGAACACCGGUGGCGAAG
This 515-nucleotide ribosomal RNA is filed under the name uncultured bacterium. Its description in RNAcentral is "bacterial SSU rRNA". It matches the Rfam family "Bacterial small subunit ribosomal RNA", at positions 213 to 720 of the family's 1533-position model. The record is from RNAcentral.